This 29-nucleotide non-coding RNA is filed under the name Mus musculus (house mouse). The record is from RNAcentral. Lineage: Eukaryota; Metazoa; Chordata; Mammalia; Rodentia; Muridae.
UCACGAAUGAAUUUAGUAUGGACACAGAU